AUUGAACGCUGGCGGCAUGCCUUACAUAUGCAAGUCGAACGGUAACAGGUCCUCGGAUGCUGACGAGUGGCGAACGGGUGAGUAAUACAUCGGAACGUGCCUAGUAGUGGGGGAUAACUACUCGAAAGAGUGGCUAAUACCGCAUGAGAUCUACGGAUGAAAGCAGGGGAUCGCAAGACCUUGUGCUACUAGAGCGGCCGAUGGCAGAUUAGGUAGUUGGUGGGAUAAAAGCUUACCAAGCCGACGAUCUGUAGCUGGUCUGAGAGGACGAUCAGCCACACUGGGACUGAGACACGGCCGAGACUCCGACGGGAGGCAGCAGUGGGGAAUUUUGGACAAUGGGCGCAAGCCUGAUCCAGCAAUGCCGCGUGCAGGAUGAAGGCCUUCGGGUUGUAAACUGCUUUUGUACGGAACGAAAAGCCCUGGGUUAAUACCCUGGGGUCAUGACGGUACCGUAAGAAUAAGCACCGGCUAACUACGUGCCAGCCGCCGCCGUAA
Molecule: ribosomal RNA, 498 nt
Filed under: uncultured bacterium
Lineage: Bacteria
Description: partial 16S ribosomal RNA
Rfam family: Bacterial small subunit ribosomal RNA
Source: RNAcentral